CCUACGGGAGGCAGCAGUGGGGAAUAUUGCACAAUGGGCGCAAGCCUGAUGCAGCGACGCCGCGUGAGGGAUGACGGCCUUCGGGUUGUAAACCUCUUUCAGUAGGGAAGAAGCGUAAGUGACGGUACCUGCAGAAGAAGCGCCGGCUAACUACGUGCCAGCAGCCGCGGUAAUACGUAGGGCGCAAGCGUUAUCCGGAAUUAUUGGGCGUAAAGAGCUCGUAGGCGGUUUGUCGCGUCUGCCGUGAAAGUCCGGGGCUCAACUCCGGAUCUGCGGUGGGUACGGGCAGACUAGAGUGAUGUAGGGGAGACUGGAAUUCCUGGUGUAGCGGUGAAAUGCGCAGAUAUCAGGAGGAACACCGAUGGCGAAGGCAGGUCUCUGGGCAUUAACUGACGCUGAGGAGCGAAAGCAUGGGGAGCGAACAGGAUUAGAUACCCUGGUAGUCCAUGCCGUAAACGUUGGGCACUAGGUGUGGGGGACAUUCCACGUUUUCCGCGCCGUAGCUAACGCAUUAAGUGCCCCGCCUGGGGGAGGUACGGCCGCGAGACGUAAACUACGAAGAAGUAGUACGGCGUGAGACGUGCCGACGGACGACGACGAGGGAGAGG
This 608-nucleotide ribosomal RNA is filed under the name uncultured bacterium. RNAcentral's name for it is "bacterial SSU rRNA". The stretch from base 1 to 525 matches the Rfam family "Bacterial small subunit ribosomal RNA", at positions 338 to 873 of the family's 1533-position model. The record is from RNAcentral.